RNAcentral lists this RNase P RNA (395 nucleotides) under Deltaproteobacteria bacterium RBG_19FT_COMBO_46_9. Its description in RNAcentral is "RNase P RNA component class A". It matches the Rfam family "Bacterial RNase P class A". From Rfam's summary of the family: Ribonuclease P (RNase P) is a ubiquitous endoribonuclease, found in archaea, bacteria and eukarya as well as chloroplasts and mitochondria. Lineage: Bacteria; Deltaproteobacteria. The record is from RNAcentral.
AGAGCAGGACAGAUGACCGCUGCUUCGCCAUUGAGCGGAGGGGAGGAAAGUCCGGGCUCCACAGGACAGGAUGCUGGAUAACGUCCAGUCCCGGCGACGGGAAGGAAAGUGCAACAGAAAGGAUACCGCCUGAUAGGAAGGGCACAGACCUUUCCACCAGGUAAGGGUGAAAUGGUGAGGUAAGAGCUUACCAGUCCCACCGGUGACGAUGGGAGCUAUGCAAACCCCUUCCGGAGCAAGACCAAAUAAGGGGAGUUUGAGGGUGGUCCGCCUGAAUCCCCGGGUAGGUCGCUCGAUCUUGAUGGCAACAUCAAGGCUAGAUGAAUGGUCAUCGUUCCGAACCGUGCCUAGCAUUGCUUCGGGAAACAGAACCCGGCUUAUGGCCUGCUCUAACA